AACCGUUCGGGGGUAAACGGACAGAGCCCGUGAAUCCGGGCGGCAGAAUUCAGAAUUGGCGGGAACGGGUUCGCGCUCGUUUCGGCCAAUUUGAUAUUUCUGUCGCCGCGCGUAUGCGCGCGGACGUCGCGACCUGUUCGAUGUCGGUCCGCUAUAUAAGGAACCGCGUUCGAGUUUGCCGCCUCGGGAGGGGAGUUUUCUUCACUUCCGUACGCGGCAAAGACGCGGAUUUCUGGCCGACUCGUCGGACAGUAGGUCAACACGGGUGGCCGGCUGGUGUUGCGCGGCUUCGGUCGCGCGCGCCACCGGUGCCGGUCAGCGACGAAUCUUCGGGCCUCUUUCCGACCCGUCUUGAAACACGGACCAAGGAGUCUAACGUGCGCGCGAGUCGCGGGGUGUCGAACGCGUUUUUUGGCGUUGCGUCGCGAUACGCAACGUUGGGGCGCGUUCGUUACUGAACGAAACCCGUACACGUGAAAGGCGUAAUGAAAGUGAACUGGGGAAGAUGGCGUUACCGAGUACACGUUCCACGGUCGCUGGUACUGUGGCCGGUCGCCCGCAUUCCCGGGGCGUCCCAAUGGCUCGUCCAAUUUAUUGAACGGGCCGGGGCGCACCUAUAGCGUGCACGUUGGUACCCGAAAGAUGGUGAACUAUGCCCGGCCAGGAUGAAGUCAGGGGAAACCCUGAUGGAGGUCCGCAGCGAUUCUGACGUGCA
This 715-nucleotide ribosomal RNA is filed under the name Dactylopius sp. MTS-2013. Its description in RNAcentral is "partial 28S ribosomal RNA". It matches the Rfam family "Eukaryotic large subunit ribosomal RNA", at positions 403 to 895 of the family's 3401-position model. Lineage: Eukaryota; Metazoa; Arthropoda; Insecta; Hemiptera; Dactylopiidae. The record is from RNAcentral.